Molecule: ribosomal RNA, 484 nt
Filed under: uncultured bacterium
Lineage: Bacteria
Description: partial 16S ribosomal RNA
Rfam family: Bacterial small subunit ribosomal RNA
Source: RNAcentral
AUUGAACGCUGGCGGCAGGCCUAACACAUGCAAGUCGAGCGGAUGAAGGGAGCUUGCUCCUGGAUUCAGCGGCGGACGGGUGAGUAAUGCCUAGGAAUCUGCCUGGUAGCGGGGGAUAACGUCCGGAAACGGGCGCUAAUACCGCAUACGGCCUGAGGGAGAAAGUGGGGGAUCUUCGGACCUCACGCUAUCAGAUGAGCCUAGGUCGGAUUAGCUAGUUGGUGGGGUAAAGGCCUACCAAGGCGACGAUCCGUAACUGGUCUGAGAGGAUGAUCAGUCACACUGGAACUGAGACACGGUCCAGGCUCCUACGUGCGGCAGCAGUGGGGAAUAUUGGACACUGGGCGAAAGCCUGAUCCAGCCAUGCCGCGUGUGUGAAGAAGGUCUUCGGAUUGUAAAGCACUUUAAGUUGGGAGGAAGGGCAGUAAGUUAAUACCUUGCUGUUUUGACGUUACCAACAGAAUAAGCACCGGCUAACUUCGUG